This 1176-nucleotide ribosomal RNA is filed under the name Bradyrhizobium sp. NOD31. RNAcentral describes it as "bacterial SSU rRNA". It matches the Rfam family "Bacterial small subunit ribosomal RNA", at positions 60 to 1269 of the family's 1533-position model. The record is from RNAcentral. Lineage: Bacteria; Pseudomonadati; Pseudomonadota; Alphaproteobacteria; Hyphomicrobiales; Nitrobacteraceae.
UUUCAGCUGAGACGCAAGAUUUUCUGCUCAGAAAUUUACACGGGGCCGAAGGGUGUUUUACGCGUGGGAAGUACCUUUUGGUUCGGAAAACACAGGGAAACUUGUGCUAAUACCGGAUAAGCCCUUACGGGGAAAGAUUUAUCGCCGAAAGAUCGGCCCGCGUCUGAUUAGCUAGUUGGUAGGGUAAUGGCCUACCAAGGCGACGAUCAGUAGCUGGUCUGAGAGGAUGAUCAGCCACAUUGGGACUGAGACACGGCCCAAACUCCUACGGGAGGCAGCAGUGGGGAAUAUUGGACAAUGGGGGCAACCCUGAUCCAGCCAUGCCGCGUGAGUGAUGAAAGCCCUAGGGUUGUAAAGCUCUUUUGUGCGGGAAGAUAAUGACGGUACCGCAAGAAUAAGCCCCGGCUAACUUCGUGCCAGCAGCCGCGGUAAUACGAAGGGGGCUAGCGUUGCUCGGAAUCACUGGGCGUAAAGGGUGCGUAGGCGGGUCUUUAAGUCAGGGGUGAAAUCCUGGAGCUCAACUCCAGAACUGCCUUUGAUACUGAAGAUCUUGAGUUCGGGAAAGGUGAGUGGAACUGCCAGUGUAGAGGUGAAAUUCCUAGAUAUUCGCAAGAACACCAGUGGCGAAGGCGGCUCACUGGCCCGAUACUGACGCUGAGGCACGAAAGCGUGGGGAGCAAACCGGAUUAGAUACCCUGGUAGUCCACGCCGUAAACGAUGAAUGCCAGCCCUUAGUGGGUUUUCUCCCUAGUGGCGCAGCUAACGCUUUAAGCAUUCCCCCUGGGGGAGACGGUCGCCAGAUAAAACUCAAAGAAUUGACGGGGGCCCGCACAAGCGGUGGAGCAUGUGGUUUAAUUCCACGCGACGCGCACAACCUUACCAGCCCUUGACAUGUCCAGGACCGGUCGCACAGAUGUGACCUUCUCUUCGGAGCCUGGAUCACAGGUGCUGCAUGGCUGUCAUCAGCUCGUGUCGUGAGAUGUUGGGUUAAGUCACACAACAAGCGCAACCCCCAUCCUUAGUUGCUACCAUUUAGUUGAUCACUCUAAGGAGACUGCCGGUGAUAAGCCGCAAGGACGGUGGCGAUGACGUCAAGUCCUCAUGGCCCUUACGGGCUGGGCUACACACCUGCUACAAUGGCGGUGACAAUGCCAUGCUAAGGGGCGACACUUCGCA